GUGGGGAAUUUUGCACAAUGGGGGAAACCCUGACGCAGCAACGCCGCGUGGAGGAUGAAAUCCCUUGGGAUGUAAACUCCUUUCGAUCGGGACGAUUAUGACGGUACCGGAAGAAGAAGCCCCGGCUCACUUCGUGCCCGCAGCCGCGGUAAUACGAGGGGGGCAAGCGUUGUUCGGAAUUAUUGGGCGUAAAGGGCGCGUAGGCGGUUUGACAAGUCUGAUGUGAAAUCUCUGGGCUCAACCCAGAGUCUGCAUUAGAAACUGUCGAGCUUGAGUAUGGGAGAGGUGAGUGGAAUUUCCGGUGUAGCGGUGAAAUGCGUAGAUAUCGGAAGGAACACCUGUGGCGAAAGCGGCUCACUGGACCAUAACUGACGCUGAGGCGCGAAAGCUAGGGGAGCAAAC
This 402-nucleotide ribosomal RNA is filed under the name uncultured bacterium. RNAcentral describes it as "bacterial SSU rRNA". It matches the Rfam family "Bacterial small subunit ribosomal RNA", at positions 354 to 773 of the family's 1533-position model. The record is from RNAcentral.